RNAcentral lists this ribosomal RNA (440 nucleotides) under uncultured bacterium. Its description in RNAcentral is "bacterial SSU rRNA". It matches the Rfam family "Bacterial small subunit ribosomal RNA", at positions 338 to 793 of the family's 1533-position model. The record is from RNAcentral.
CCUACGGGAGGCAGCAGCUAAGAAUCUUGCGCAAUGGGCGAAAGCCUGACGCAGCAACGCCGCGUGGGGGAAGAAGGUCUUCGGAUUGUAAACCCCUUUUGCGAGGGAAGAAGUUCUGACGGUACCUCGCGAAUAAGCCACGGCUAACUACGUGCCAGCAGCCGCGGUAAUACGUAGGUGGCAAGCGUUGUCCGGAUUUACUGGGCGUAAAGCGCCCGCAGGCGGCCAGGUAAGUUUCAGGUGAAAUCUCCCGGCUCAACCGGGAGGGGUCCUGGAAAACUGCUUGGCUUGAGGCAGGGAGAGGGAUGCGGAAUGCCAGGUGUAGCGGUGAAAUGCGUAGAUAUCUGGCGGAACACCAGUGGCGAAGGCGGCAUCCUGGCCCUGUCCUGACGCUCAGGGGCGAAAGCGUGGGGAGCGAACCGGAUUAGAUACCCCUGUAG